AGUGAACGCUGGCGGUAGGCCUAACACAUGCAAGUCGAACGGCAGCACAGUAAGAGCUUGCUCUUACGGGUGGCGAGUGGCGGACGGGUGAGGAAUACAUCGGAAUCUACUUUUUCGUGGGGGAUAACGUAGGGAAACUUACGCUAAUACCGCAUACGACCUACGGGUGAAAGCAGGGGAUCUUCGGACCUUGCGCGAUUGAAUGAGCCGAUGUCGGAUUAGCUAGUUGGCGGGGUAAAGGCCCACCAAGGCGACGAUCCGUAGCUGGUCUGAGAGGAUGAUCAGCCACACUGGAACUGAGACACGGUCCAGACUCCUACGGGAGGCAGCAGUGGGGAAUAUUGGACAAUGGGCGCAAGCCUGAUCCAGCCAUACCGCGUGGGUGAAGAAGGCCUUCGGGUUGUAAAGCCCUUUUGUUGGGAAAGGAAAGCAGCAGGUUAAUACCCCGCUGUUCUGUCGGUACCCAAAGAAUAAGCACCGGCUAACUUCGUG
RNAcentral lists this ribosomal RNA (492 nucleotides) under uncultured bacterium. RNAcentral's name for it is "partial 16S ribosomal RNA". It matches the Rfam family "Bacterial small subunit ribosomal RNA", at positions 29 to 507 of the family's 1533-position model. The record is from RNAcentral.